UACAGAGGUGGCAAGCGUUGUUCGGAAUUACUGGGCGUAAAGGGCGCGUAGGCGGCCUUCUAAGUCAGACGUGAAAUCCCCCGGCUUAACCUGGGAACUGCGUCUGAUACUGGGAGGCUUGAGUAUGGGAGAGGGAUGUAGAAUUCCAGGUGUAGCGGUGAAAUGCGUAGAUAUCGGAAGGAACGCCGGUGGCGAAAGCGGCCCGCUGGACCCUCUCUGACGCUGAGGCGCGAAAGCCAGGGGAGCAAACGGG
Molecule: ribosomal RNA, 253 nt
Filed under: uncultured bacterium
Lineage: Bacteria
Description: partial 16S ribosomal RNA
Rfam family: Bacterial small subunit ribosomal RNA
Source: RNAcentral